This 1398-nucleotide long non-coding RNA is filed under the name Anser cygnoides (Swan goose). RNAcentral's name for it is "lncRNA (ENSACDG00005002049.1)". Lineage: Eukaryota; Metazoa; Chordata; Aves; Anseriformes; Anatidae. The record is from RNAcentral.
GGGGACACGGGACUUCAAUCAGCUUAGGCUGCAGUCUUUUGGUGCUGAACUGCUACAGAAAUACUGCACACAGCAAGCCCAGCCACUAAUGAAGGGCACAGUUAAUUAGCAUAUAUUACUGUUACAGACAGUUUUUGGAUGCCCUUACUACCUUUAGAAUGAUCUUUUGUUUCAUACAAGACAUUAAAAAGACCCAGUAACACUCACAGAAUUCCUCUGUUAACAUCUUGAGCUAUAAAUGCCAAAGAAAUUAGUCUGAACGCUCUGCCAUCCCCCUGCUCCAUGACACAGGUGAUGACUUCAUAAGCUGUGCCGCCUGUACCACCUCAUCGCCCCCUACUUUGCUCUCAGCGAGUCGAGCAUGCGGGGAUGGGGCUGCUGCAGUUUUUACUUUGAGAGCCAAGUGAGGCUCUCAGGCUGAGAGGCCGAGGGCUCCAGAACAUGAUUCAGAAAGAUCAGUGCGCUCAGCACUGCCAGCUUCAUCGGUUACCUCUUUGAGUCCUCCAUCGCAGAGCAAAUCCCACACACUAGGCAAUGGGACCAGAGGCAGGAACGGCAGAUGCAGUGAGCAGUUGCUGGUUCCUCAAGUUUUGCAUGCGUGCAGUCUUCACAUAACAGGCAUGGAUGUGUAUGUAAUACAGCAACAACACAACAGGAUGUUAGAUGAAGAAAAGAUGUCGAGACAAGAAGAAUUUCCACUAAAACUGCUCCCAGCCAUUCUCUCCUACAAAGCAGCAGCACACAGAGAUCUGAGGAAAGGUUUCUAUGCUACAACCAUCAGCCUGAAAUGCAAGAAUGAGUCUGCAGCCUAAUGUCUCAGCCAGCCACUGGACCUGGUACUGCUGUCCUGCUCGUAAAAAGUAGUUAAACUUGUGCAUAUAAAAGUUAAGAUUGAAGGCCAGUUACUCAUUUCACUGGUUUGUAAGAGCUAGGCCUGCUAAGCCACUGUAGUCACCCUUGGUAGAUCUUAUAAUUUCAGCAAUGCUGUUUCUACAGAGGUCAACCAACACUGCACACAUCCUUUAACAGAUGGUUGGAGAGAGUUGUAAUUUAGUUCAAAGAGUUCCUAUGUUGCAUGAUGCAACACAACGCACAGACCCCCCAGCGCAGGCCAGAGCACCUAUGAUAUACUGUAAACCGACUGACCAAAGGAAUCAAGUUUCCUUGACUGUGAUUUCAGCCUGAAUAUAUAUUAUCUAUGAAUACUUUGGUAUACUGACAUUUCAGUCACAAUAUCCAAUACUAAAUAUUUAUUUCAAGUUUGAAAUUUUCCAAACCAUUAGGCUGAUGAUCAGUUUUAAGAAUCAUACAUAAAGAGUUGAGAUAAUGACAAAAGCAGAAAAAGACUGUUUAGGAAUUAGCAAUGGAAAAAUAAAAGUUAACUGAUGAAGAAUGGCA